UACAGGGGGUGCAAACGUUGCUCGGAAUUAUUGGGCGUAAAGCGCACGUAGGCGGUCUGUUAUGUCGGAUGUGAAAGCCCUUGGCUCAACUGAGGAAGUGCAUCCGAAACUGGCAGGCUAGAGUACGUAAGAGGGUCGCGGAAUUCCUGGUGUAGCGGUGAAAUGCGCAGAUAUCAGGAAGAACACCCGUGGCGAAGGCGGCUCUCUGGGACGGUACUGACGCUGAGACGCGAAAGCGUGGGGAGCGAACAGG
RNAcentral lists this ribosomal RNA (253 nucleotides) under uncultured bacterium. Its description in RNAcentral is "partial 16S ribosomal RNA". It matches the Rfam family "Bacterial small subunit ribosomal RNA", at positions 524 to 776 of the family's 1533-position model. The record is from RNAcentral.